GAUGAACGCUGGCGGCGUGCCUAAUACAUGCAAGUCGAGCGAACGGACGAGAAGCUUGCUUCUCUGAUGUUAGCGGCGGACGGGUGAGUAACACGUGGAUAACCUACCUAUAAGACUGGGAUAACUUCGGGAAACCGGAGCUAAUACCGGAUAAUAUUUUGAACCGCAUGGUUCAAAAGUGAAAGACGGUCUUGCUGUCACUUAUAGAUAGAUCCGCGCUGCAUUAGCUAGUUGGUAAGGUAACGGCUUACCAAGGCAACGAUGCAUAGCCGACCUGAGAGGGUGAUCGGCCACACUGGAACUGAGACACGGUCCAGACUCCUACGGGAGGCAGCAGUAGGGAAUCUUCCGCAAUGGGCGAAAGCCUGACGGAGCAACGCCGCGUGAGUGAUGAAGGUCUUCGGAUCGUAAAACUCUGUUAUUAGGGAAGAACAUAUGUGUAAGUAAAUGUGCACAUCUUGACGGUACCUAAUCAGAAAGCCACGGCUAACUACGUG
Molecule: ribosomal RNA, 497 nt
Filed under: uncultured bacterium
Lineage: Bacteria
Description: partial 16S ribosomal RNA
Rfam family: Bacterial small subunit ribosomal RNA
Source: RNAcentral